AGCGUUGUUCGGAAUUACUGGGCGUAAAGGGCUUGUAGGUGGCCAACUAAGUCAGACGUGAAAUCCCUCAGCUUAACUGGGGAACUGCGUCUGAUACUGGAUGGCUUGAGUUUGGGAGAGGGAUGCGGAAUUCCAGGUGUAGCGGUGAAAUGCGUAGAUAUCUGGAGGAACACCGGUGGCGAAGGCGGCAUCCUGGACCAACACUGACACUGAGGAGCGAAAGCCAGGGGAGCAAACGGG
Molecule: ribosomal RNA, 240 nt
Filed under: uncultured bacterium
Lineage: Bacteria
Description: partial 16S ribosomal RNA
Rfam family: Bacterial small subunit ribosomal RNA
Source: RNAcentral